AAGAAUACUGUGCUCCGAUUCUGUUGUUCCCGCAUCUUGUUGCUUCACAACAGGGAAAGGCAGAACCAUAGGGUUCAAGGAGUGAUCCUUCAGCCUGCCGUGUUUGCAAAGGAGUCUAUUCAGCUGUCUG
Molecule: non-coding RNA, 130 nt
Filed under: unidentified
Description: Delta proteobacterium MoCo sequence
Rfam family: Molybdenum/Tungsten riboswitch aptamer (Moco RNA motif)
Source: RNAcentral